Molecule: ribosomal RNA, 253 nt
Filed under: uncultured bacterium
Lineage: Bacteria
Description: partial 16S ribosomal RNA
Rfam family: Bacterial small subunit ribosomal RNA
Source: RNAcentral
UACAGAGGGGGCAAGCGUUGUUCGGAAUUACUGGGCGUAAAGGGCGCGUAGGCGGCCGCCUAAGUCAGACGUGAAAUCCCUCGGCUCAACCGGGGAACUGCGUCUGAUACUGGGUGGCUUGAAUCCGGGAGAGGGAUGCGGAAUUCCAGGUGUAGCGGUGAAAUGCGUAGAUAUCUGGAGGAACACCGGUGGCGAAGGCGGCAUUCUGGACCAACACUGACGCUGAGGAGCGAAAGCCAGGGGAGCAAACGGG